This 103-nucleotide transfer RNA is filed under the name Apiotrichum porosum. RNAcentral describes it as "Trichosporon porosum tRNA". It matches the Rfam family "tRNA". From Rfam's summary of the family: Transfer RNA (tRNA) molecules are approximately 80 nucleotides in length. The record is from Rfam by way of RNAcentral. Lineage: Eukaryota; Fungi; Basidiomycota; Tremellomycetes; Trichosporonales; Trichosporonaceae.
GACCCCGUGGCGUAAUGGUAGCGCGUGAGAUUCCAACUGGAAUGUGUCGAGCAGUAGCUCGUACGUUUCCUCAAGGUUGUCCGUUCGAUUCGGGCCGGGGUCG